RNAcentral lists this long non-coding RNA (806 nucleotides) under Fukomys damarensis (Damara mole-rat). Its description in RNAcentral is "lncRNA (ENSFDAG00000027616.1)". Lineage: Eukaryota; Metazoa; Chordata; Mammalia; Rodentia; Bathyergidae. The record is from RNAcentral.
AUUUUAGUAGCAAUAAAUCACCCUCAUAAAUUAAAGGACGAUCAGAUAUUAUCUACACGGUGGGACACCCGAAGGUGAUAAUACUUGCACUGGUGUCUGAAUGGUUUCUCCAGCACCCACCACUGGGCCUCCAAGCCUCAGCCCCAAGGUUCAGAUAUUUUAGGGUAACCGUCAACAGACACUGCUGCCAUGGCAUCAAAUCUCCACACUCGCACUUUCUACGGGGUCAACUAUGGAUCGCUUGAACGCAUCACCUGAGGGCUUGAGUUGGCCGCAGCUCCUCUGGGCUCUGAAAGGCUCCACACGACUUCUUGUUCCAAGACUGAGACUGAAGGGGCCGCCACCUGUCAUCCACUUCUCUCAAGGCACAGCAUGCAAAUUCCAGAGGCCGGAGCCAAGGUGCAGAGAGCUGGUGUGGCGUUUCACGUGUGGCCUUGUACAGGUUGGGUCUGCUCCCAGCUCAUUAGCCAAGCAGUGUGCAGGGCAGAGCUGGACACUGCACCUGAGCAGGUGGGCACUGCAACCCAGGCGGCGUGGCAGGUGCAGACGAGGGAGACUGAGACAGCUUACCCUGUGCAGGGAAGAUGGAAUGCGGUAACUAUAUCAUCACAAAAGCAAACAGCUGACUGAUGCAUCCCGACGCAAAGAGAACAGGAGCACCGUUUAUCAGGGUAUGCACUUUCCUUUUGAAAAUAAUGUUCCUGAAACAUGAACCUAUUGUGCAGAUUAUUUUGAGUUAAUUGCAUUAUGCAGGUUAAAAUGUUUUUAAAGUGAACAUAUACAUCUAUCUAAGCUAACUGGGGAAA